This 592-nucleotide ribosomal RNA is filed under the name uncultured Alphaproteobacteria bacterium. Its description in RNAcentral is "bacterial SSU rRNA". It matches the Rfam family "Bacterial small subunit ribosomal RNA", at positions 8 to 646 of the family's 1533-position model. The record is from RNAcentral. Lineage: Bacteria; Pseudomonadati; Pseudomonadota; Alphaproteobacteria.
AGAGUUUGAUCCUGGCUCAGAACGAACGCUGGCGGCAUGCCUAACACAUGCAAGUCGAACGAGACCUUCGGGUCUAGUGGCGCACGGGUGCGUAACGCGUGGGAAUCUGCCCUUGGGUUCGGAAUAACAGCGGGAAACUGCUGCUAAUACCGGAUAAUGACGUAAGUCCAAAGAUUUAUCGCCCAAGGAUGAGCCCGCGUAGGAUUAGCUAGUUGGUGAGGUAAAGGCUCACCAAGGCGACGAUCCUUAGCUGGUCUGAGAGGAUGAUCAGCCACACUGGGACUGAGACACGGCCCAGACUCCUACGGGAGGCAGCAGUGGGGAAUAUUGGACAAUGGGCGAAAGCCUGAUCCAGCAAUGCCGCGUGAGUGAUGAAGGCCUUAGGGUUGUAAAGCUCUUUUACCCGGGAUGAUAAUGACAGUACCGGGAGAAUAAGCUCCGGCUAACUCCGUGCCAGCAGCCGCGGUAAUACGGAGGGAGCUAGCGUUGUUCGGAAUUACUGGGCGUAAAGCGCGCGUAGGCGGCUUUGUAAGUUAGAGGUGAAAGCCUGGAGCUCAACUCCAGAAUUGCCUUUAAGACUGCAUCGCUUGAA